CGUUUAGAUUCAAUAUGUCAUUGUAUCCCAUAUUGCAAGGCUCUAAUUAGAUACCCGAGAGGGUGAUUCCAUGGGAGUCUUUCGCUCAGGGCGUCGACUUACAAAAUGGAUAUGUAAAGUGGUCUUCAA
Erigeron canadensis is the source of this 129-nucleotide long non-coding RNA. RefSeq lists it as uncharacterized. The transcript has 3 exons. The record is from RefSeq and is a predicted model, not a curated record. Lineage: Eukaryota; Viridiplantae; Streptophyta; Magnoliopsida; Asterales; Asteraceae.